This is a non-coding RNA of Thalictrum thalictroides, 159 nucleotides long. Lineage: Eukaryota; Viridiplantae; Streptophyta; Magnoliopsida; Ranunculales; Ranunculaceae. The record is from the annotation of a GenBank genome assembly.
UGACUUACCUGGACGGGGUCAAUGGGCAAUCAAGAAGGUCCAUGGCCUAGGUUAGUGACCUCCAUUGCACAGGAGGGGUGCUCACCUAAGAUAUCUCCGAGUGGGAUAGUCUACGUCAUAAUUUGUUGCUGAGGGGGGGUGCGCGUUCGCGGUCCCUGC